This 596-nucleotide long non-coding RNA is filed under the name Phasianus colchicus (ring-necked pheasant). RNAcentral describes it as "lncRNA (ENSPCLG00000016927.1)". Lineage: Eukaryota; Metazoa; Chordata; Aves; Galliformes; Phasianidae. The record is from RNAcentral.
GGGGUCCUAUGGGGUCCGAUGGGGUCCUAUGGGGUCCCUUAUGGGGUCUUAUGGGGUUUCUAUGGGGUGUUAUGCGGUCCUAUGGGGUUUUGUGGGGUCUUAUGGGGUGUUAUGGGGUCCUAUGGGGUCCUAUGGGGUGUUACGGGGUCCUAUUGGGUCCUAUGGGGUCCUAUGGGUCCCUAUGUGGUUCUAUGGGGCUCUAUGGGUCUCUAUGGGGUCUUAUGGGGUCUUAUGGGGUCUUAUGGGGUCUCUAUGGGGUUUCUACGGGGUGUUAUGGGGUCCUAUGGGGUGUUAUGGGGUCCUAUGGGCCUCUAUGAGGUCCUAUGGGGUCCUAUGGGAUCCUAGGGGUCUCAAUGGGUCUCUAUGGGCUUUUAUGGGAUCUUAUGGGUUCUUAUGGGGUCUCUAUGGGUCCCUUUGGGUCUCUGUGGGCCCUUAUGGGGUUGUAUGGGACUCUAUGGGGUCCUAUGGGUCUCUAUGGGUCUCUAUGGGGUCGUAGGGGGUCUUAGGGGUCUCUAUGGGGUCUCUAUGGGGUCCUAUGGGUCUCUAUGGGGUUUAAUGGGGUCUCUAUGGGUCUCUAUGGGGUCCUUUGGGGUCCU